Molecule: unclassified non-coding RNA, 340 nt
Filed under: soil metagenome
Description: partial contains 5.8S ribosomal RNA, internal transcribed spacer 2, and large subunit ribosomal RNA
Rfam family: 5.8S ribosomal RNA (bases 1-120)
Source: RNAcentral
GAUGAAGAACGUAGCGAAAUGCGAUAAGUAAUGUGAAUUGCAGAAUUCAGUGAAUCAUCGAAUCUUUGAACGCACAUUGCGCCCGCUAGUAUUCUGGCGGGCAUGCCUGUUCGAGCGUCAUUUCAACCAUCAAGCCCUGUUUAGGCUUGUGUUGGGGACCUGCGGCUGCCGCAGGCCCUGAAAACCAGUGGCGGGCUCGCUGUCACACCGGGCGUAGUAGAUUAUAUCUCGCUCAGGGCGUGCUGCGGGUUCCGGCCGUUAAAAAGCCUUAUUUACCCAAGGUUGACCUCGGAUCAGGUAGGAAUACCCGCUGAACUUAAGCAUAUCAAUAAGCGGAGGA